AGAGCCAUGGUGUCAAUGGUAGCAUGACGGUCUCCAAAACCGUUGGUAGUGGUUCGAAUCCACUUGGCUCUGCCA
Molecule: transfer RNA, 75 nt
Filed under: candidate division WS6 bacterium OLB20
Lineage: Bacteria
Description: tRNA-Trp
Rfam family: tRNA
About the family: Transfer RNA (tRNA) molecules are approximately 80 nucleotides in length. Their secondary structure includes four short double-helical elements and three loops (D, anti-codon, and T loops). Further hydrogen bonds mediate the characteristic L-shaped molecular structure. tRNAs have two regions of fundamental functional importance: the anti-codon, which is responsible for specific mRNA codon recognition, and the 3' end, to which the tRNAs corresponding amino acid is attached (by aminoacyl-tRNA synthetases). tRNAs cope with the degeneracy of the genetic code in two manners: having more than one tRNA (with a specific anti-codon) for a particular amino acid; and 'wobble' base-pairing, i.e. permitting non-standard base-pairing at the 3rd anti-codon position.
Source: RNAcentral